GGGAAUGUGGCUUAGUGGUAGAGUGCUUGCCUAGCCUGCAUGAAGCUCUAGGUUCAAUUCCUCAGUACCA
RNAcentral lists this transfer RNA (70 nucleotides) under Dipodomys ordii (Ord's kangaroo rat). It matches the Rfam family "tRNA". From Rfam's summary of the family: Transfer RNA (tRNA) molecules are approximately 80 nucleotides in length. Their secondary structure includes four short double-helical elements and three loops (D, anti-codon, and T loops). The record is from Rfam by way of RNAcentral. Lineage: Eukaryota; Metazoa; Chordata; Mammalia; Rodentia; Heteromyidae.